Molecule: ribosomal RNA, 484 nt
Filed under: uncultured bacterium
Lineage: Bacteria
Description: partial 16S ribosomal RNA
Rfam family: Bacterial small subunit ribosomal RNA
Source: RNAcentral
AUUGAACGCUGGCGGAAUGCUUUACACAUGCAAGUCGAACGGCAGCACGGGGGCAACCCUGGUGGCGAGUGGCGAACGGGUGAGUAAUACAUCGGAACGUGCCCGGUCGUGGGGGAUAACGUAGCGAAAGUUACGCUAAUACCGCAUACGAUCUGAGGAUGAAAGCGGGGGACCUUCGGGCCUCGCGCGAUCGGAGCGGCCGAUGUCAGAUUAGGUAGUUGGUGGGGUAAAGGCCUACCAAGCCGACGAUCUGUAGCUGGUCUGAGAGGACGACCAGCCACACUGGGACUGAGACACGGCCCAGACUCCUACGGGAGGAAGCAGUGGGGAAUUUUGGACAAAGGGCGCAAGCCUGAUCCAGCCAUUCCGCGUGCAGGACGAAGGCCUUCGGGUUGUAAACUGCUUUUGUAUGGAACGAAAAGGCUCUGGCUAAUACCUGGGGCUCAUGACGGUACCGUAAGAAUAAGCACCGGCUAACUACGUG